GCUGAUGUAGCUCAGUUGGUAGAGCACAUCCUUGGUAAGGAUGAGGUCACCAGUUCGACUCUGGUCAUCAGCUCCA
Molecule: transfer RNA, 76 nt
Filed under: Clostridiales bacterium
Lineage: Bacteria; Bacillati; Bacillota; Clostridia; Eubacteriales
Description: tRNA-Thr
Rfam family: tRNA
About the family: Transfer RNA (tRNA) molecules are approximately 80 nucleotides in length.
Source: RNAcentral